Molecule: ribosomal RNA, 460 nt
Filed under: uncultured bacterium
Lineage: Bacteria
Description: partial 16S ribosomal RNA
Rfam family: Bacterial small subunit ribosomal RNA
Source: RNAcentral
CCUACGGGUGGCAGCAGUGAGGAAUAUUGGUCAAUGGCCGGAAGGCUGAACCAGCCAUGCCGCGUGAAGGUCAGUGCCCUUUGGGCGUUAAACUUCUUUUGUGCGGGAGCAAUAAUGGUCACGUGUGGCCAGACGAGAGUACCGUACGAAUAAGCAUCGGCUAACUCCGUUCCAGCAGCCGCGGUAAUACGGGGGAUGCAAGCGUUAUCCGGAUUUAUUGGGUUUAAAGGGUGCGUAGGCUGUGAGGUAAGUCAGCGGUGAAAUGCCCCCGCUCAACGGGGUGAAGUGCCAUUGAUACUGCCUGGCUGGAAUGCGGAUGCCGUGGGAGGAAUGUGUGGUGUAGCGGUGAAAUGCAUAGAUAUCACACAGAACACCGAUUGCGAAGGCAUCUCACGAAUCCGCGAUUGACGCUGAUGCACGAAAGCGUGGGUAUCAAACAGGAUUAGAUACCCCAGUAGUC